This 189-nucleotide small RNA is filed under the name Arabidopsis thaliana (thale cress). RNAcentral describes it as "ATSL206850". Lineage: Eukaryota; Viridiplantae; Streptophyta; Magnoliopsida; Brassicales; Brassicaceae. The record is from RNAcentral.
GCAGUCGAGCAUAAUUGUCUCAUUUCCUGUCUAUUACUCGACCAACAUACUCGACCACACUCAGUGUCUGGCAACAGACUGUGCAGUCGAGUAUAGUUAUUUCAUUUCCUGCCUUUUACUCGACCUGUUACUCGACCACAUCCUGCUUCUGGCAUCAACCAGUUGUGGUCAAUGAUUUUAGUAAUUCAG